AUGAUUGAUUUACCUAUUCAAAGCAAUUUACGCGAGGGACUUUCUUUGACAGAAUAUAUAAUUUCCUGCUACGGAGCCCGCAAAGGGGUUGUAGAUACUGUUGUGCGUACAGCAGAUGCUGGAUAUCUUACACGUAGACUUGUUGAAGUAGUUCAACAUAUUAUUGUGCGUAGAAGAGAUUGUGGUACUAUCCGAGGUAUUUCCGUAAGUCCUCAAAAUGGGAUGACGGAAAAACUUUUUGUCCAAACACUAAUUGGUCGUGUAUUAGCAGACGAUAUAUAUCGGUUCACGAUGCAUUGCCGCGCGAAAUCAAGAUAUUGGAAUUGGAUUAGUCAAUCGAUUCAUAACUGCCUUUCGAGCACUACCAUUUCGAGCACAACCAAUAUAUAUUAG
This 393-nucleotide ribosomal RNA is filed under the name Triticum aestivum (bread wheat). Its description in RNAcentral is "partial small subunit ribosomal RNA". Lineage: Eukaryota; Viridiplantae; Streptophyta; Magnoliopsida; Poales; Poaceae. The record is from RNAcentral.